RNAcentral lists this long non-coding RNA (246 nucleotides) under Phoenix dactylifera (date palm). RNAcentral describes it as "long non-coding RNA (PDAC_LNC012161)". Lineage: Eukaryota; Viridiplantae; Streptophyta; Magnoliopsida; Arecales; Arecaceae. The record is from RNAcentral.
UGCCUUAUUGUUUAUGUUUAUGUUUAUUCAUAGCGGGUAGAUAAUUAUUUGCAUGAGAUGUAGAUAAUUAAAUGAAAAAGACCUAAAUUAAAUCUUCUCAAAAAUAUUAAGUCUAGCGGUCUUCCAUCGUAGUAGAGCUGCUAAGGUCUUUCCGGCGUUGAUUUGUCUCGGCUGGAUACAGUGGGCAAGUUGCAUCGGGGGACUGGACCUCUCUAUUAGGCAUGAGAUAUUGUAGGGGUAAAGAUG